Spinacia oleracea (spinach) is the source of this 6819-nucleotide long non-coding RNA. RefSeq lists it as uncharacterized. NCBI's taxonomy places the organism in Eukaryota, Viridiplantae, Streptophyta, Magnoliopsida, Caryophyllales, Amaranthaceae. The record is from RefSeq and is a predicted model, not a curated record. The transcript has 2 exons.
CCCUAAUAAUAAAUAUGCAAUUUAAUCAGUUUUGUGCACAAUAUCAAGUUUAUUUUUGCCGAAUUUAAUCUUGUCAAUGUAUGGAGUGUGAAACAUUUUGCUUGCUUGAUCAAUUAAGUCAUAAUGCAUUUUAACGCGUGAUAAUGGCCUUAUUUCAAAUUUGAGGUGUUAGGUUGACUUAUCGAUCAUAUAAGGUAUUGAGAUAAUCCAUUUCCAUCAAAAACCCUUAUUCACUAUAAAAUUCCGGUGGAUUAAAUCAUAAUCAUAUAUGAUUUAAUAGUCGAUUGUCCCUUUUAUUUGGAGAUGAGGCCUAGACGGAUGUCUUACUUUGUUUGGUCAAUUCCAUUAGCCCAAACACAAAACCAAAAAUAAUCCCUCAAUUACUGUCAUGAUUGGAAUUUGCUCAAAAUACAAUUAUCGAAGAGAAUCCCUAAGAAUUUACUACAAAAAACCAUUUUGAUCCAUUCAAGCCGCCAACCAGGGUGCACAUUUUUGUUGAAACCGUCUUAUUUAGAAGACCUUUAUGGUAAUCACUAAUCAGUGUGAUUUCCUCAACCCUAAGUGGAUCAUUUUGAUUCUUAAAGCGAAUUGAUUAAGGAUCACAUAAACCUUAGCCCAAGCAAAAUAAAACCCAAUAUCAUUAUCCCCGAACCCAAGUGGAAUUGGCCAUUUAAAGUGAGACAUUAGUCCGAACUACGAUAGUUUUGAUCCGAGAGUGGAUUCGAAUCCCAUGAUGAUCGGUACGUAGCGCAACUUCAAUGCUCAAACCUAUCAUGCGUUGAUAAUUUUAUUUUGGCUUAAUGAAACCUUUUUUAGUAUGCUUGCAUGUGUAUGACAACGUGCUAUGUGUAUUUAAUCUAAAUUCCUAAAUAGCCAUAUAUCAAAUCAACUAGAUAUUAAGUCAGAGUAAGAGCCUAUUCUUUAGAAUAGAAGAGAAGCCGAGUUCUAGACGUUCGAUUCUCUUAACCUAGACCCCGAACCCGAAUUUUUGAUUUCAAAAGAUCAGUUUCAAAGAGGAAAAUGCCUUUAUUUUAUGGAGUUAUUAAUCAUUUUCGAAAUUGCUUUCUCUAAACUUUUUCAUAAAUGGUUUUACAAAAUCCGUUCCCUGUUCGGAUAAAAAUAGGGUGGCGACUCUAAACCUUUUAUAAACAGUCUGAACAGACUCUCAUGUAGGAUUCUCAAGGUAAAUAAUAGUCGGUCGAGAAUCAGGUCCUACAAGUGGGUUUUGGACUUAAUAUGUAAUCGAUUAUUUAUAAACCUAUAAAUUAGUUUUAUGUUUUCCGCUGCAAAAUUCUGAAUAAGCCGUUACGUUUUCACACGGGCGAUAAUACUUUGAUAAUUCUCUAUAGCUAUAUUUAUAAAAAGGGUUAUUUUAGAAAAAGGGAAUUGUCGGGGUGUUACAAAGUUAUUUAAAUUAUUCCAAUGCUUUAGUGUAUGAGAGAUGGGUAAUAUAGGAAAGGGCAUAUAGGAUAGAAUUAUAUGUGCAUUAGUAGUAAAUUGUUAGCAUAAGAAGUUAAUUGCUAUGCGCAUGUGUUAAAUGUUUAAGUGUUGCAUGUAAAUGUGCAUAGAAAUUGUUUGAUUCCACCAAACUUAUUGUUUUAUUAAAUUCUGAUUAUGCUUUGGUUGGGAAAUCGUUAGUAAGAUCUUAAGUUGUUUGUUUCAUGAAUAAAAUGCUUCUUUCCAAGUGCACCAACAUAGGAUCCUUCGAGAAAAUCGACGAAUACUGAGGAUCUAGAUUUCACUUCACAAAUUUCCAAGGAAAGAACAGAUAAACAAGAUGCCUUAAACAUUUGAAGUUGUAAUAGUUAGUUAGUUCUUUUACGUUUUGGGGAAUAAGUAGCAAAACUACAACAGUUUAAAGUUAAAGCAAUAGAAGUUUGAGUUGUUCUUUAUUCCUUUCGAGGAUCUAAUAAACCUCUAUAGAGUUAGUAAUAAAAGUUAAAGUAUUCUUUUCAUUUUGAGAAUUCCAUAUUACUUCCAAGUUGCGCUCUAGGAUGACCAACAAUAAUGACCUAACUGCUGUUAUUCGCUUCUUGGCGGAAAAGCUUACCCUACCUUUUUAGAAAACCGGGUUGGAGAGUUUGAGAAAUCGUUUGGGGUUGUGAACUGUCCUGAGAAUAUGAGAGGGGGUCAAGUUGUCAUGUAUUUGAAAGAUGAAGCUGAUUUAUGGUGGAGAGAGAAUAGAGUUAGGCUUAGCGCUGCUGAGAUAUUCAAUUAGGAUUCAAUUGUUACUGCCUUAAGGGAAAGUUUUACCCUACCUUUUAUGAGAAAGCAAAAAGUUUAGGAAUUCAUAAACCUUAGUAUGGGGAGCACGACCAUACCUGAAUACUAUGCAGACUUAUAGCAAGACCACCUUAGGAUUAGGUGGGGAAACCUUUGUGUCUUUAGAUAUUGUGUAUGGGAGAGUUGCUCAUAUUUAUGGCAUGUAGUCCAAAAGGGACAAGAAAAUUGUUGUUGGGGAGAAAAUAAAAGAGUUUAAUGCUGGAGAAAACCAAAGGAAUUUCAAGAGGAAUAUGAAUGAGAAUAUCAAUGGGAAUGGAAAUAGAAAUAGAAAUUUUCAAGGAAGGAACAACCAGGGAAAUAACCACAACAAUAGGAACCAAUCUGAGAGAGUGUAUCACUGUAAGAUGUGCAAUAACAACCAUCACAAGGCCCCGGGUAAACUGCAUGUGAUAAGUCGAAAUGAAGCUGAACGACCUGCUGACUUAGUUUCUGUUACUUUUCUAUUAACUCCGUGCUAGUUAGAAAGUUAUUUGAUUCGGGGAAAGCUUAUUCUUUUGUUUCUUCAUCUCGUAUUAAGAGUCUGAAGUUAGUAGAUUUUGAGGUGAUUGAUUUACCUGUUAGUAUACCUACUGGUGUAACCUUAAGGUGUACCAAGUUAUUUAAGAACUUUCCUUUGAAGAUAAAAGAUUGCGUUUUCUUUCUGACUUGAUAGAGUUUAAUGGGAAACCUAGAUGUAAUUCUGGGAAUGAAUUGGCCAAGUUUUUACAAGGCUAAGGUAGAUUGUGAAAUUCCGAAAGUAAGUUUAAGGAACCCUAUGGGAAGGUUGACCUCAUGGGGAUGUUUUGAGAAGUCCAAGAACCUUUAGUGAUUUCUGUAAUGCAAGUGAGGAAAUUGAUGAAUAGAGAGUGUGAACUAUUUUUCUGUAGUGUGUUAGAGGUGAGUAAAGAAGUUGGAGUGAAAAUCGAGAAUGUUCCCAUUGUGAUUGGAUUCAUUUAUGUGUCUACGAGUGGAAUUGCGAGUAUGUCACCUGCUAGAGCCCUUGAGUUCAUUAUAGAGUUAAAUCCUAAAACGGCACCUAUAUCCAAAGCACCAUAUAGAAUGACACUUCCUGAAAUGAACGAAUUGAAGACACAGUUGCAAGAGUUGUUCGAUAAGGGUUAUUUUAGAGCCUAGUACAUCACCGUGGGGAGCUCAGGUGUUGUUUGUUAAGGAUAAAGAUAAGAGUAUGGAAUUAUGCAUCGAUUUUAGGGAGCUAAACACCAUUAAGAACAAGUAUCCCUUGCCUAGAAUAGAUGACAUAUUGGACCAAUUGCAUUGGGCGAGUGUGUUCUCGGAGACUGAUUUGGGUUUAAAUGACCACCGAUUGAGAGUAGCUGAUAAGAAUAUACUUAAGACCUCAUUAGGAUUCGUUGUUGUCAUUAAGGGUUUAGAGUAACGUCUUUUGGGUUAACCAAUGCACCUGCAUUAAUUAUGGAUUUGAUGAAUGAGAUUUUCUACGAAUUCCGAAUUAAGUUCGUUAUUAUGUUAUUGAUGAUAUCCCGAUUUAUUCAAGGAAUGAGAAAGAGCAUGACAAACACUUGAGGAUUACUUGGAGACGCUUAGAAAGAAUCUAGUUUUAUUAAAUGAAGUAUACAAAUCUUGAAGUGAUAUGUGUAUAAGUGACACCGACGGAAAAGUGAAGGACUAAAUUGAUUGAGAACUAUGUUACGUAAGGGAAUAAAUUUAAGAGAAGAUUUGAGUGGUCCAGGAUCGUUAGAAAUCAUUUGUUGUCUGGAAAAGAUGAAAAGAAAUACAUGAAUUGGUGCAAGAGCUAAGAGUUAAGCCCAAAAGUUAUACACCCAUGAAAACCGUAAUGAGGUUCGGUAACAAGGAAAAGUUGAACAGAAGGAGUUUCUGUAGAUCCUGCUAAGAUUCAAGCUGUGAGUGAGUGACCUACUCCUAAGAACGUGCCCGAUAUUUGAAGUUUUCUAAGCCUAAAUGACUAUUAUAGGAGGUUGUGAAAGACUUUUCGAAGAAAGCAAAACCAGUGACCAACUUGUUGAAAAAGGAAUCGAAAUUCAAGUGGAGUGAGAAAUGUGAAGAAGCUUUCCAGAUUUUAAAGGAAUGUUUGACCUCCGCACCUGUUGUCGUGUCAAUUGAAACUUUAUGAAACCAAUUACCCUACCCAUGACCUAAAGCUAGCUGCUAGUGCGUUCGCUUUGAAUGAUUUGGAGACAUUAUCUUUAUGGGGCAACAUUUGAGAUCCUUACCGACCAUAAAAGUCUGAAAUUUUGGCAAAAAGGUCUAGUGAAUCUUGGGAACGACAUUGAAAUGAGUAUUUCUUUCCACCCUGCAACCGAUAAACAGACUGAGAUUACUACAAAAUAUAUGUUGAGAUCAUGUGUUAUUAACUUUAAGGGUAAUUGGGAAGACCAACUAGAGUGAUUGAAUUUCUUGCAACAAUAGUUACUAUGCGAGCUUUAAGAUGGAACCUGUUGAGGCAUUGUGCGGAAAGAAGUGUAGAAAUCCCACUUGCUACGAUUUUAGUGGAAAUAUAGCAUUGGGGGCAUGAUUCGUUGAAGUAGAAAUAUCCAAAGUUAUUCCCUGGGAUGAGUUACGAGGGCGUAACUCGUUUUCUUUAAGGGGUAGAAUGCGAUAGAAAUUCGCGCUAUUUACCUAUUUUUAUGCAUUUUAGGCUCAUUAUUUUGCAAAUUAUACAUGUUGAUGCAAGUAAUUAGAUUCUCUGCAUAAGAAAAGUGUGUUCAUGAGUAACACAAACAACUUUAAGUUGGCAAAAGAGCGCACAUGAGUGGCACAAGUACUUCUUUAGUAUGAAUAAGUUGAAAACUCUUGAAAAAGGUGUGAAUUUCAGUGUCAAGUUUCGGGACGAAACUUCUUUUAAGAGGGGUAGAUUGUAAUCCCCCGUAAAUUUAUAAAUUUUAUUAAUAUAUUUUAACGUAUAGUUAUUUAUAUUUUAAAUAGAAUUUACGAAUUUUAGUAAUAAGUAUACAAUUAACGUUUAUUUAUUUUAUUUAAUUACAUUUUAAGUAUUUUAACGGUUUAUGAAAUCAAAAAUAAUUUUAGAAUUUUACGUUGAAAAGAAUUCGAAUUACGAAAAUACGUUCGAUUGAAUUUGGAAAAGCAAUCCUAACCGUUUCGAGUUCAAACAAACAAUAUCCUAGUUCUAGCCCAAAUUAUAAAGGCCCAAAUAAAUAAACCCAUAAUUUCACCCUUGUUACAAUUUCACGUGAAAUCCUCAAAACACCAAAACCUCUCCUCCUCCUUCACUUUCACGUAAAACAAGAACCCAUACCCUACCUCCAUUGGUGCGGCUGCCCAGCCGCCACCACCGCCGGCACUUCUCUCUUCUGUCGUCCCUCUCUGCCUCUGUACCGCUAGUAACCUUCUCCUCCUCCUCCUCUUGUUCUUCCUUUAUCUUUUUGUUUUAUCUCUCCCCUUCACUCUUGAUUCUGUCUGUAGCGCAGCCAUAACCACUAGCAAAACCGGCCGCGACGACCACCAGUGAUGCACUACCACGUCGCCUCCGCCGACCAACCGACACCAGCCAACGCUCCUCUUGUUUUCCCUCACGCUCUCGAAGCCCUCCUCUUCGUUUGCCCUAUUCUGCACGCACAAGUCAUUCGCAGCCGCGAGUAACCACCGCUGCGCCACCGGCCAGCCGUGCUCCGAGCUCAGUCCGUCGCUGCCGCGUUGUGCGCCGCCGCCCUGCCUACUUCUCUCCUCUCCUUUUGGUUGUUUCUUAUACUCUAAGUAAUUUAAUAAAAUAUUCUAAUUUUUUUUUGUUACCGAUUUAAGUUAUGUUUUAAUUGUAUUGAAUUUAGAAUUUUUGUAAUUAAAUUAGAAUUUUCGGAUUUAUAUAUUUUGUUUAAGUAAUAAAUUUAAUUUUCAGAUUAUAUAAAUGCAUUGAAAUAACGAUUUUAAUUAUUUGAAUCUUGAAUUUUAAAUCUUUAAUGGUUGGAAAUCAUAGUGGGGUGAUUAGGGAUUUUGAAAUUGAUUGUUUCAACGUUCUAAGAACGUUAAUUGGUCUUGGUGAAGUUUGUAAACAAGUUUUAUUGCUGAAAAUUUUAAAGUAUAAUGUUUGCGAAGAGUUUUCAACGAAUUUCAAUAAUUAAUUCAAUAAUUAUGAUGCUAGGAAAUCAAAUGUUCAAGUUUUAAUGUUAGGGAAUGUUCUAAAUAUGUUUAGGAUGUAUUUAGAAUGCUUUGUUAUUGUUGUGAGUGAUUAGAAGUUGAUUGGGAAUACUUGUUGGUUGUUUUAGGCGGAGAAUUCUCUUUAGGCGACUUUUGAAAGUGUUAAAGUGGCCUAUCAGUUUGUUUACACAAGUCUCUAAGGAUCAAUAAGCGUUGCCCAUCUACAGGUUUGAAGAUGAUGCAUCAUUGGGAUCGGGAUUAGAGAGCUUGUAGUUAUAUUUGUUUUGUUAAGUGAUGUGGUUUGUUAAUUUGGACUUGAAAUUUGUCGUACUAUUCGUAUUUCCUUAUUUCCGUUAAGUGGGUUUUGGACUUAAUAUGUAAUCGAUUAUUUAUAAACCUAAAAAUUAGUUUUAUGUUUUCCGCUGCAAAAUUCUGAAUAAGCCGUUACGUUUUCACACGGGCGAUAAU